UACGUAGGGGGCGAGCGUUGUCCGAAUUUACUGGGCGUAAAGCGCGCGUAGGCGGUGAAUUAAGUUGGUGGUGAAAGUCCAAGGCUCAACCUUGGAAUUGCUUCCAAUACUGGUUUACUUGAGGCAUGGAUGGGGAAGCAGAAUUCCGGGUGUAGCGGUGAAAUGCGUAGAUAUCCGGAGGAAUACCGGUGGCGAAGGCGGCUUCCUGGCCAUGAUUCCUGACGCUGAGGUGCGAAAGCUAGGGUAGCGA
Molecule: ribosomal RNA, 250 nt
Filed under: uncultured prokaryote
Description: partial 16S ribosomal RNA
Rfam family: Bacterial small subunit ribosomal RNA
Source: RNAcentral